Molecule: ribosomal RNA, 496 nt
Filed under: uncultured bacterium
Lineage: Bacteria
Description: partial 16S ribosomal RNA
Rfam family: Bacterial small subunit ribosomal RNA
Source: RNAcentral
GAUGAACGCUAGCGGCAGGCUUAACACAUGCAAGUCGAGGGGUAGAGCUAGCUUGCUAACUUGAGACCGGCGCACGGGUGCGUAACGCGUAUGCAAUCGACCUUGUACAGAGGGAUAGCCCAGCGAAAUUUGGAUUAAUACCUCGUAGUAUUAUUGAAUGCCAUCAUUUGUUCAUUAAUGUUCCAACGGUACAAGAUGAGCAUGCGUGCCAUUAGCUAGAGGGUAAGGUAACGGCUUACCAUGGCAACGAUGGGUAGGGGUCCGGAGAGGGAGAUCCCCCACACGGGUACUGAGACACGGACCAGAAUGCUACGGGAGGCAGCAGUGAGGAAUAUUGGUGAAUGGGCGCAAGCCUGAACCAGCCAUGACGCGUGGAGGAAGACGGUCCUAUGGAUUGUAAACUGCUUUUAUACGGGAAGAAACCCUGCUACGUUUAGCAGCUUGACGGUACCGUAAGAAUAAGCAUCGGCUAACUCCGUGCCAGCAGCCGCCGUAA